UUCCGGUUGAUCCCGCCGGACCUGACUGCUAUCGGAUUGAUACUAAGCCAUGCGAGUCUUUGCAGUAAUGCAAGGCAUACGGCUCAGUAACACGUAGUCAACUUACCCUAUGGACGAGGAUAAUCUCGGGAAACUGAGCAUAAUACUCGAUAGAUCAUAAUGCCUGGAAUGGUUUAUGGUUGAAAUGAUUCGUCGCCAUAGGAUGGGACUGCGGCCUAUCAGCUUGUUGGUGAGGUAAUGGCCCACCAAGGCGAUUACAGGUACGGGCUCUGAGAGGAGAAGCCCGGAGAUGGGUACUGAGACAAGGACCCAGGCCCUAUGGGGCGCAGCAGGCGAGAAAACUUUGCAAUGUGCGAAAGCACGACAAGGUUAAUCCGAGUGAUUUCUGCUAAAGAAAUCUUUUGCAAGUCAUAAAACCACUAGUGAAUAAGGGGUGGGCAAGUUCUGGUGUCAGCCGCCGCGGUAAAACCAGCACCUCAAGUGGUCAGGAGGAUUAUUGGGCCUAAAGCAUCCGUAGCCGGCUCUGUAAGUUUUCGGUUAAAUCCAUGUGCUCAACGCAUGGGCUGCCGAAAAUACUGCAUAGCUAGGGAGUGGGAGAGGUAGACGGUACUCAGUAGGAAGGGGUAAAAUCCUUUGAUCUAUUGAUGACCACCUGUGGCGAAGGCGGUCUACCAGAACACGUUCGACGGUGAGGGAUGAAAGCUGGGGGAGCAAACCGGAUUAGAUACCCGGGUAGUCCCAGCUGUAAACGAUGCAGACUCGAUGAUGCAUUGGCAUAUAGCCAGUGCAGUGUCGCAGGGAAGCCGUUAAGUCUGCCGCCUGGGAAGUACGUACGCAAGUAUGAAACUUAAAGGAAUUGGCGGGGGAGCACCACAAGGGGUGAAGCCUGCGGUUCAAUUGGAGUCAACGCCGGG
Molecule: ribosomal RNA, 914 nt
Filed under: uncultured marine archaeon
Lineage: Archaea
Description: bacterial SSU rRNA
Rfam family: Archaeal small subunit ribosomal RNA
Source: RNAcentral